Molecule: unclassified non-coding RNA, 355 nt
Filed under: Hevea brasiliensis (rubber tree)
Lineage: Eukaryota; Viridiplantae; Streptophyta; Magnoliopsida; Malpighiales; Euphorbiaceae
Source: RNAcentral
UGCUAAUAUUGAAAGCUCAAUGGCUCCUCCCCACUUCUCUGAGUCAAGAAUCCAAGCACAAUACUCUUCGUUUGGCUUUCCAAGAAAUGCUUCAUUAUACUUCACUGGAUCACUGGCCACAGUUGCAGCUAUAACCUGUCUCAACUCAGGCGCUUUGUUUCUGUCAUUAUCCAUAACGUACCCAACAGCGUUGAAAAGGCAACUGUUAUCUGAGGGAAUGACCCUUCUAACAAUGAUUCCUUCCAUGCACAGGCUUUUUUUUUUCCGGAAAAAGGAACAAAAUGAACAGAUGAGAGACCGUGAGAUAAGAGAGAGGAGUGUUCUUGGUGUUUUUUGGGUAUUGGGAUAAAAAGUG